GCCACUAUGGUCUAGUGGUAUAACCAUCCGCUGAAGUAGGGUCUAGAACAAUGACGAGUGGUUGCAGUUGGUUACACACUUUCAGCGGACGUCCGUGAGUUCGAAUCUCACUGGUGCA
Molecule: non-coding RNA, 118 nt
Organism: Trichophaea hybrida
Lineage: Eukaryota; Fungi; Ascomycota; Pezizomycetes; Pezizales; Pyronemataceae
Source: the annotation of a GenBank genome assembly